GGGACUGUAGCUCAGUCGGAUAGAGCGGUCGCCUGAAGAGCGACAGGUCAGGGGUUCGAUCCCCCUCGGUCCCAC
Molecule: transfer RNA, 75 nt
Filed under: Microbacterium phage Pumpernickel
Lineage: Duplodnaviria; Heunggongvirae; Uroviricota; Caudoviricetes
Description: tRNA-Phe
Rfam family: tRNA
About the family: Transfer RNA (tRNA) molecules are approximately 80 nucleotides in length.
Source: RNAcentral